RNAcentral lists this ribosomal RNA (202 nucleotides) under uncultured Anaeroplasma sp. RNAcentral's name for it is "partial 16S ribosomal RNA". Lineage: Bacteria; Bacillati; Mycoplasmatota; Mollicutes; Anaeroplasmatales; Anaeroplasmataceae. The record is from RNAcentral.
CACGUAGUUAGCCGGAGCUUAUUCCUCAGGUACCGUCAAAUUCCUCUUUCUUCCCUGAUAAAAGAACUUUACAUUACGAAUAACUUCUUCGUUCACGCGGCGUUGCUCGGUCAGGGUUCCCCCCAUUGCCGAAAAUUCCCUACUGCUGCCUCCCGUAGGAGUAUGGACCGUUCUCAGUCCACUGUUGGCGUCUACCACCUCA